CUGCAUCGAACGGUAGCACAGAGAGCUUGCUCUCGGGUGACGAGUGGCGGACGGGUGAGUAAUGUCUGGGAAACUGCCUGAUGGAGGGGGAUAACUACUGGAAACGGUAGCUAAUACCGCAUAACGUCGCAAGACCAAAGAGGGGGACCUUCGGGCCUCUUGCCAUCAGAUGUGCCCAGAUGGGAUUAGCUAGUAGGUGGGGUAACGGCUCACCUAGGCGACGAUCCCUAGCUGGUCUGAGAGGAUGACCAGCCACACUGGAACUGAGACACGGUCCAGACUCCUACGGGAGGCAGCAGUGGGGAAUAUUGCACAAUGGGCGCAAGCCUGAUGCAGCCAUGCCGCGUGUAUGAAGAAGGCCUUCGGGUUGUAAAGUACUUUCAGCGGGGAGGAAGGUGUUGUGGUUAAUAACCACAGCAAUUGACGUUACCCGCAGAAGAAGCACCGGCUAACUCCGUGCCAGCAGCCGCGGUAAUACGGAGGGUGCAAGCGUUAAUCGGAAUUACUGGGCGUAAAGCGCACGCAGGCGGUCUGUCAAGUCGGAUGUGAAAUCCCCGGGCUCAACCUGGGAACUGCAUUCGAAACUGGCAGGCUAGAGUCUUGUAGAGGGGGGUAGAAUUCCAGGUGUAGCGGUGAAAUGCGUAGAGAUCUGGAGGAAUACCGGUGGCGAAGGCGGCCCCCUGGACAAAGACUGACGCUCAGUGCGAAAGCGUGGGGGAGCAAACAGGAUUAGAUACCCUGGUAGUCCACGCCGUAAACGAUGUCGACUUGGAGGUUGUGCCCUUGAGCGUGGCUUCCGGAGCUAACGCGUUAAGUCGACCGCCUGGGGAGUACGGCCGCAAGGUUAAAACUCAAAUGAAUUGACGGGGGCCCGCACAAGCGGGAGCAUGUGGUUUAAUUCGAUGCAACGCAAACCUUACCUACUCUGACAUCCAAACUCAGAAUGCAUUGGUGCCUUCGGAACUCUGAAGGCUGCAUGGUCGUCAGCUCGAAAUGUGAUCC
This 1002-nucleotide ribosomal RNA is filed under the name Enterobacter cloacae. Its description in RNAcentral is "bacterial SSU rRNA". It matches the Rfam family "Bacterial small subunit ribosomal RNA", at positions 55 to 1073 of the family's 1533-position model. The record is from RNAcentral. Lineage: Bacteria; Pseudomonadati; Pseudomonadota; Gammaproteobacteria; Enterobacterales; Enterobacteriaceae.